GCCAGUGUGGCAUAAUGGUUUUAGUAUUGGACCAUAGAUUCAAUUUCUGGGGUUCAAUUCCCCAGCUCAGCCA
Phrynosoma platyrhinos (Desert horned lizard) is the source of this 73-nucleotide non-coding RNA. Lineage: Eukaryota; Metazoa; Chordata; Lepidosauria; Squamata; Phrynosomatidae. The record is from the annotation of a GenBank genome assembly.